This 1117-nucleotide long non-coding RNA is filed under the name Triticum aestivum (bread wheat). RNAcentral describes it as "long non-coding RNA (TAES_LNC027882)". Lineage: Eukaryota; Viridiplantae; Streptophyta; Magnoliopsida; Poales; Poaceae. The record is from RNAcentral.
UAACAAUCAAUUCAAGCCCAUAUGUCAUGGAACGACAAAGAGGAUCAACUUAUGUCCUAGGAUGUCCAUUAUCGAAGGAAACAUCAUAACCAUGGCUUGAGUAAGGUCCUACCGUGCCCUAGCUAGGAGAGACCUGCUACCAUCUUAGCUUAGUUAAGUGUCUUACGGCUAAAUAUGCAAUGGGUCCUCUUUGGCCCUUCGGUCUAGCGCGGUUUGGACGACUGGGAUCGGUGCACAAUUUUUUCUUAAGAAAAGGUUAUAACCCGCAACCUACGACAUGAAUUUCCAUAAAUUUAUUAUGGAAGAUCUCUAGCAAAUCCAUGACAUAAAAUUACUCAAUCAGAGUACAUAGCAGUCGACAAUGGCAGAACCAUUUACAAAGAUGAUAUCGAUAACCCACUUAGACCCAAUCUUCUAAAGCAAGGCCUUCAAGAAAAAAUUGUGCACUCGCGCCGACGGCGCUAGAUAUCCAGUCUUUGAAGAUCGAGAAAGAGAUUUUCAUUUCAUCAUAUUUUUUUUCGGGAAGGGGGAACUCUCGCCUCUGCACCAUGACGUAGACGCAAGUGUGUCGCCAUGCGAGUCACACAGCAGACAGCACUACUCCGACGAAAAGCUCCAUUUAUCGCCUCUCCUUUAGCUUUGAUCUUUAUUUGCGAUGAGUCAGUUUGCGGUUGUGCAUCCGGUGGUGGGAGAGUAGACAGGUACCUGCAGUUACUCUGAUUGGGCUGGCUGGAGAAAAAGGAACGACGGGAGAGGAGACAGAUACCUGCAGUUACUAGUACCGCUGUCAACCCUCCUGAUUGGGCUGGCUCGAGAAAAAGGAACCAUGAUCUCCAUAGCAGUGGCCACGAUGGGUAGGGGCGAGAGGGCUUUUCUUGAUUUGCCAGGAACGGGGGUACAGGCAGUACAUGGAGAUCAUUACUUGCUAGUAACAUGCAGCAAUCAAUUCAAGCCCUCAUGACGUCUCUCUCGAGCCCCCACACGGCCGGACGGACGGACACGGUACCCGUCCCUCCCGGCGACGGCAUGUGCAGCCCCCUGGCCGGAGACCCGGACGCCAACAGUGCGGUGACUACAGGUGUAUGGUGGUGCAGGGCAGCCCGUUGCUACACGUUGG